This is a long non-coding RNA of Lepidothrix coronata (blue-crowned manakin), 205 nucleotides long. RefSeq lists it as uncharacterized. Lineage: Eukaryota; Metazoa; Chordata; Aves; Passeriformes; Pipridae. The transcript is spliced from 3 exons. The record is from RefSeq and is a predicted model, not a curated record.
GCCGAGAUAGCCCAGCUUCAAGAGCAAUUGGCUCUCAAAGAUGCAGAGAUAGAACGCCUGCAAAGUCAGCUCUCUAGGACCUCAUCAUACAGUGAAGUGGCAGAAAGAGAGGAAGUUUAUAGGAGAAGGCUAAAAGAAAAACAUCAAGAAGUUCAGCGACUGAAGAUAGGAAUGGAAUCGUUAUUGGCUGCAAAUGAAGAAAAGG